GAUGAACGCUGGCGGCGUGCCUAAUACAUGCAAGUCGAGCGAACAGACGAGGAGCUUGCUCCUCUGACGUUAGCGGCGGACGGGUGAGUAACACGUGGAUAACCUACCUAUAAGACUGGGAUAACUUCGGGAAACCGGAGCUAAUACCGGAUAAUAUAUUGAACCGCAUGGUUCAAUAGUGAAAGACGGUUUUGUUGUCACUUAUAGAUGGAUCCGCGCCGCAUCAGCUAGUUGGUAAGGUAACGGCUUACCAAGGCAACGAUGCGUAGCCGACCUGAGAGGGUGAUCGGCCACACUGGAGCUGAGACACGGUCCAGACUCCUACGGGAGGCAGCAGUAGGGAAUCUUCCGCAAUGGGCGAAAGCUUGACGGAGCAACGCCGCGUGAGUGAUGAAGGUCUUCGGAUCGUAAAGCUCUGUUAUUAGGGAAGAACAAAUGUGUAAGUAACUAUGCACGUCUUGACGGUACCUAAUCAGAAAGCCACGGCUAACUACGUG
RNAcentral lists this ribosomal RNA (497 nucleotides) under uncultured bacterium. RNAcentral describes it as "partial 16S ribosomal RNA". It matches the Rfam family "Bacterial small subunit ribosomal RNA", at positions 28 to 507 of the family's 1533-position model. The record is from RNAcentral.